RNAcentral lists this long non-coding RNA (587 nucleotides) under Durio zibethinus. RNAcentral's name for it is "long non-coding RNA (DZIB_LNC000524)". The record is from RNAcentral. Lineage: Eukaryota; Viridiplantae; Streptophyta; Magnoliopsida; Malvales; Malvaceae.
UCCACAUAAAAGUUUUACAAAUGAAUUACUUAAAUAAGAAUAAUAAAAAGAUAAAUAAAUUAUAAAAAAAAUAAAUUAACACAUCAAGUGAACAAUAAAAUAUAAUGUAUAAACUUAUAUUUCAAAUCCUAAAAUAAAAUUCACCUAAUCGAUUCAAACAAAUUAAAUUAACACACACAAAAUAAAUAAAUGUUUUAUUUAUUUAUUUUAAUGAUUUUAUCAAUGAAUUUUUUUCCUUUUUUGAACCAUUUUUUUUAAAAACAAAAGUGUAGAUUUAGUUUACAAUCUAAUCGAUCUAAAAAAACCAAACAUCAUUAUACAAAAGAGAUUUAAUUUCGUCGCCAGAUUCCCUGACUUCAUCAAAUGUCUGGGUUCAUUGUUUAGCAUAAAAUGUCAUCCAAUCGACACAAAUUGACUUUUCAAUGAAUACGAUGUAAAUCUAAUUUUUUUUAAUAAUACAAUUCUUGUAAAUUUGAAUUAAAAUUAAAAUGAAGAUAGAAAGCAGGAGAACCUCUUGAUCGAACCAUCAUUUUCAAUCAAAGCCCACCAACCAGAGCAUACGUGGAUCUGUAUCACAUAUAUAUAAU